RNAcentral lists this long non-coding RNA (2638 nucleotides) under Homo sapiens (human). RNAcentral describes it as "HSALNT0087601". The record is from RNAcentral. Lineage: Eukaryota; Metazoa; Chordata; Mammalia; Primates; Hominidae.
GGAACUCCUCUUUAUGAAACCAUCAGAUCUCAUGAGGCUUAUUUACUUUCAUGAGAACAGCACAGGAAAAACUUGCCCCAUGAUUCAAUUACCUCCCACCUGGUCUCUCCCACAUGUGGGGAUCAUUAUAAUUCAAGAUUCACUAUGGCUUUUUACAAUGAAGACUUUUUUCAUUUUUGCAUUUCCAUCAUUUUGCAUGGUGUCUGUCAUUGUUCUUGCACUUUGCGGCCACUAUGGAGUACAAUAAGGGUUACCUGAACACGAGUACUGCAAAACAAUGACAGUCAAACUAAUAACUGAGAAGGCUACUAAGUGAAUACUAGGUGAAGAGCAUAGACAGUAUGGAUACACUGGACAAAGAGAAGAGUCACAUCCCUGGCAGGACAGAGCAGGAGGACAGCAUGAGAUUUUCAUCACGUACACAGAAUGGUGGGCAAUUUAAAACUUAUGAAUUAUUUCUGAAAUUUUCCAUUUACUGUGCUUGGACUAUGGUUGACUAUGGGUAACUGAUACUGUGGAAAGUAAAACCCUGCAGAGUGAAAACGUGGAUAAGGAAAGACAACUUUAAUACUUUUUAGUAUAUUAAAAGUAAAGAUUUUGUUAACAGUUUUCUAAAUCUUACAUCUGAAAAUGUCAAAUAACAAAAUACAAAUUUGUUAAUAAUCAGAAAAUGUGCCUUUAAAGCUAGUACGAAAGAGAAAAUGUGUUAAAGCUUACAUAAUUCAAGACGAUAAGAGAAAAACUAUAAUUCUGUGUUUUUAAAACUCAAACCAUGCAACUGAUAAACUCCUCAUAUUACUUCCAUUAUGUACAUUUAAUUGUAAAUUAUAUGGAUAAUACCACAUAUGUAGGAUUAUUAGAAGGGAAGACAAUGUGCCCCAGUAUCAAACUGUAGAAAUUAAUUUUAUUCUCCAACCCAAAAUCACUCAAUAAUUUUAAUACAAAUGCCCUAUGACUUUCAUAUUAUAGUCCACAAUAUGGAAAUUCAUAUGCUCUAAUAGUAAAUAAUACUUUAGUAAAUGUCCAUAAAUCACUCUAUUUUCUUCUUUGUAAUUUGUAUUUUUUAUUUAUUUAAUUUCUUUAGAGAUAGCGUAUUGCUCUGUAACCCAGGCUGGAGUGCAGUGGCAUGAUCCCACCUCACUGCAGCCUCAACCUCUGGGGCUCAAGCAAUCCUCCCACCUCAGCCUCCCCAGCAGCCGGGACCACAGAUGCACACCACCACAUGCAGUUAAUUUUUUAAUUUUUUGUAGAAUGAGGUCUCACCAUGUUACCCAGGCUAGUCUCAAACUCCCGGGCACUAGUGGUUCUCCUGCCUCGGCCUCCCAAGUGCUAGGAUUAUAGGUGUAAUUUUUAAAUAAGUGCCAUGUACAAUUUCACAGAGUGCCCUAGUUUUGUAACAGGCAGUUAGGCAUGAGUGGGGCAGGAGAGGGCUCUCCCCCAACCCACUAGAAAUGUCAGGUGAUGAUUCCAGAAUUAUUUCUUUGCCUCUCUUAAAAAUGAUAAUUCACCUACCAGGGAGAAAUCUCCUGAUGGUCCACACCUGUUAACAUUAAAAGUGUUAACUGAAGGCAGAUCUCAGGGAGAAACAGUUUCUGGGCAUGCUUGUUAAGAGACGAAAAUGGUGAAGUAUGAUAUUCCAGGUACACUCCACUGGAAAAAGGAAGAAAGCCUCAGAUGGGCAUAUGUAUAACUCCGUGAACACACUGUGUUUGCUCACUUUCCAAGGGUAAGGAGGGCUCUGCGCACGCGGGAAGCUCACUCUAAGCAAAGAAUUAUGGGAAAGAGGCAAGCUUAUUAAGUCCUAGGAUCAAGGUUAAAGGCUCUUUUUUUUUUUCUGUUAUCUUUUGUCCUUUUUUUCUCUCUUGGACCUUCAGGCGUCUGCUUGGGUCUCUUUCAAGCGAAUUUUCCUUUCCCUCCUGUUCUAAAGCCUUUUUAAAUAAACUUCCACUCCUGCUCUAGAACUUGCCUCUCUUUUUCUGCUUUAUGCCCUCAGUCAAGUUCUUUCUUCUGAGGAGGCAAGGACUGAAGUUGGGAGGGACACAUACGGAUACACUGUUGGUAACUUGGGAUAACUCAGAUCUCUGGUAACAGUUUCAAGGCAUUGGUAGAAUACUUUACAUUCAGAAAUCCAAAUAAUUUUUGUUUUAAGUCAUCAAAUUUGUGGCCCAGCAUAAUAAAAGAUACGGUUGUUUCCUCCCUUUCAGUUUGAGAAUUCCUACAGGAAACAUUUGUGUUAAAGAAAUAUGAUUAUCAAUGUUAAUGAUUACAUAAUUAUUAGUUAUUGUUUUUUCAUUGUGGAAAAUGAAUUUCAACUCAGAUUUACCAACAAAUAUUUACUUAUUCUAUUCUAAUGGCAUUUAGUUUAGUUUGUUUGUUUUUGGGGGUAGUGGUAACAUGAAAAAACUAAAGGGCUUCUGUGAUAGGAUUUUAAAAUAUUCACAUAUAUUUCUACUUCAAGCAAUAAUUACUUUCUCUGUUCACAUCAAAUACAGACUGGGUGAAACACAGUAAAGAGGACUUAUUUCCUGUUAAUAGAUAUUACUUGACAUUUAGCUUUAAUGCUGGAAAAUAAAAGCAGUUUAUAAUGUCCAGAAGAGCUUUUUCUUUUUUGCUUACAGAGCACUUAAGUGUCAUCUUA